GGGGAGUUAGCUCAGUUGGUUAGAGCAUCUGCUUUACACGCAGGGGGUCGGGGGUUCGAGUCCCUUACUCCCCACCA
This 77-nucleotide transfer RNA is filed under the name Fastidiosipila sanguinis. RNAcentral's name for it is "tRNA-Val". It matches the Rfam family "tRNA". From Rfam's summary of the family: Transfer RNA (tRNA) molecules are approximately 80 nucleotides in length. Their secondary structure includes four short double-helical elements and three loops (D, anti-codon, and T loops). The record is from RNAcentral. Lineage: Bacteria; Bacillati; Bacillota; Clostridia; Eubacteriales; Oscillospiraceae.